RNA transcript from Sorex araneus (European shrew), 3428 nucleotides. It is a transcript of the gene named cyclin dependent kinase like 1, with no coding region annotated. The record is from RefSeq and is a predicted model, not a curated record. NCBI's taxonomy places the organism in Eukaryota, Metazoa, Chordata, Mammalia, Eulipotyphla, Soricidae. The transcript has 10 exons.
GGUCGGGGAGGGCAGCCGGGGCGCGGCGGCCCCGCCCAGGCCCGCGGGAGCUGGGGCCCGUUCCCAUAGGGAUCGCGAGCGGGUGGCGGGCGAGAGUCGGCGAGGCCGGAGCGGGCAGAGGCCUGCACCCGCGGCGCCACUUUGGUGAAGACCCUGCCGUGGAGGGCGCCUCUCCUGCCGGCUAGUCACAUUCCGGUGUUUCCAAGCCAGUUUUUCAAAUUAUGUGAAGAUCCCUUCUGAGAAGAUUUAUUCCUCUGGGAUGGAGAAGUAUGAAAAAAUUGGGAAAAUUGGCGAAGGCUCCUACGGAGUUGUUUUCAAAUGCAGAAACAGGGACACGGGCCAGAUUGUGGCCAUCAAGCGGUUUCUGGAAUCAGAAGAGGACCCUGUCAUAAAGAAAAUUGCCCUGCGAGAAAUUCGCAUGCUCAAGCAACUCAAGCAUCCCAACCUUGUCAACCUUAUUGAAGUUUUCAGGAGGAAGCGGAAGCUUCACCUGGUGUUUGAAUACUGUGACCACACGGUUCUCCAUGAGCUAGACAGAUACCAGAGAGGGGUGCCAGAACAUCUCGUGAAGAGCAUAACUUGGCAGACACUGCAAGCUGUAAAUUUUUGCCAUAAACACAAUUGCAUACACAGAGAUGUGAAGCCAGAAAAUAUCCUCAUCACAAAGCAUUCAGUGAUCAAACUUUGUGACUUUGGAUUUGCUCGGCUUUUAACUGGACCAAGUGACUACUAUACAGAUUAUGUGGCUACCAGGUGGUACCGCUCCCCAGAGCUGUUGGUGGGGGACACACAGUAUGGCCCUCCUGUGGAUGUUUGGGCAAUUGGCUGUGUAUUUGCUGAGCUGCUAUCAGGUCUGCCUCUGUGGCCAGGAAAAUCAGAUGUGGAUCAGCUCUACCUGAUUAGGAAAACCUUGGGAGAUCUCAUUCCUAGGCACCAGCAAGUAUUUAGUAUGAAUCAAUACUUCAGUGGGGUGAAAAUUCCAGACCCUGAAGAUAUGGAACCACUUGAAUUAAAAUUUCCAAGUAUUUCUUAUCCAGCCAUGGGACUUCUAAAGAUCUGUCACUUUAAGAAUUUGCCCAGAAGAGGAAAUUAUGUUCUUGCAGGGCUGUCUCCAUAUGAAUCCUGCAGAGAGGCUGACCUGUGAACAGCUGUUGCAGCACCCAUAUUUUGACAGCAUCCGAGCAAUAGCAGAUUCGGCCAAAGGACCUGACAAACCAGUGAGAAAGACACUGAAACCAAGUCGAAAACAUCUGCCGGGGUUGCAACACCUACCUCAGCUGACUAACAGCAGUAUCCUUCCAGCUUUGGAUACUAAGAAAUACUACUAUAAUACCAAGAAACUUAACUAUCGCUUCCCAAACAUUUAAGAAGUUUGGAGACUGAUGAUAAGGGAAAAAAAGGACAAUCAAAAACUUGAAGAAAAUUAAACAUAUGUUUGACUAAAAAUAAUCACAAUGUUGAAAAAACAUUGAGAGAAUUUAAGCAACUAACCAGGAAGCCACUUGGCAAGAUAUGGUGGGAAAUUCCAGAUGUAGUCUUUAUAUUUGAUGUGGGUAACGAGAACAGAAAGGAGAAACUUAGGUUUUCACUUAUAUUCUUUGUUGUAAGUAACUGAACUUAUGGACAGAAUACAAGUGGAUUUUAUGUUGGCAAGAUUUAUGCUCCAGUUGUACUAUAUGUAACAUGUGAAAAGGAAUAACAAAAUGCCGACAGGUAUUUCCUUGGGUCUGUUUUCUUAAUCCUAUCUUCUCCCUUUAUAGAUUGUCUCAGUAUCAUAGGGAAAUUUCUUAUUCUUGAAAUCCAAAUGUUUGAAAUUCCACUUCUUACUUUGUUUUGAUUUUUAUAUUUUAAAACAUUCCAAGAAUAUUUAGGAGUUCAAAUAUUUAAAGUAAUGUAGGUCAUCAUGAAACACUAGCAUUUAUAUACUUCUGUAUUUAAUGCUGUGUAGGUACUUCUUAACAUGUAUUUCUGUAUUUAAUGUUAGUAUUGGACUAUCAUAUUUUAGCAGGCAAUGAUUAUUGUCAUGCAUGUAUACUUAUUCAUCCAAUUCUCCCUUGUAAAUAAUGCCAUGAAGCCUGGUGACUGACCAGGGGUGUCAAGGGAUAGGACAAGGCCUGCAGACGUCACAGGAACUGAGCCUGUGUGUGUGAAAAGUUUGAAAAAUAAUUAGUGCUUCAUUCUCUUCGGCUCAGCCUCAGACAUGUCCUAUAGGCAGGACUAUACAUAGUGAUCUAUAUAUACAUAUGGUGGGAAAUUCCAGAUGUAGUCUGGAACAGCCUGAACUGUUAUUUGGGUUGUGAAAGUGCUUAGGCCAUAAACUAUUUUUUUCCACCCUGAAAGGUAUCUUUUUGCGUAUAAGUACUAACAAUAAAGCAGUCCAAAUGAUAUUGAGGUUUGCUAACUUUGUACAGUGAUACAGAUGAUGCAUCUAAUUGGUCUGUAGUAGCUCUUAUUCAAAAAGACCUUUUUUUUUUAUCCUUGUGUCCCAGACACAGAGAAACUGCAUGUCCAUGUCAGUUUUUUAUAGACCAACACCAUUUUUUUUCAAAUGUGCUGCUGCUUCCUAGCAUUUCUCAGAUAUGAUCUUUGAAGUUGUAUUUUACUAUAUCUUCUAAACAUUGUUUCAGAACUCUUUAUUGCUGUUCUUUUGUGAGAAUAUCUGACCUCAUUCCAUUUACUGUAAAGUAGUACACCAAAUUACUGCCACUGUUCAAUAACUUUGGCUAUUCCAGCCAGCUAAUAUCCCCAGGCUUCCUGAUGUAUGUAGCACCAUGCAGUGAGCUGACAGAGGGCUAAAGUACAGUAGCCCCAGUAUCAAUUGAUUUAAAUGACAAGGAAGACAUCAAGCUUCUGUGAAUAGUUUACAUUCUGUUUUUUUUUCAACCCUGAACAAUGCACCUGACUGGCAGAUGAUUAAAACUGCCAAGCUUAUCCAGUAGUCUUACAGAAAGCCAUUCUGAAUAGAAAAGUAGUUCCAGACUAACUUUGGUGAAUCCAUUUUCUCAUCACACGAUAGCCAAACAAUCCUGAGAUAGAAGGACUCAUUUUUUUUCCAAAUUCUAAUAAGUAAAUGUUUAUGCUUAAUUUUACCCUCUUUGAAUCUUUCCUUCAGCAUGGAAUCUUCACUGUUUCACCAGUGUGCUAAACCACUGUCUUUUUAAAAUUUUACUAUUUUCUGACUCUUUAAAAUGAUAGUGGGAAUUAUUUUGGUAAGUAGUAGGUAUCAUUUGUUUUCUUAACUACUAACACAUUUUUUUCUACCUGACUGUUAAAUCACCGUAAAAAUUUAAAAUUAUUUCCAGACAAAGUUAUAUUCAACUGUUUAAUGUAUAAACCAAAUGUACAGAAAUUGACCAAGUUGAUAUACUAUCUGAUAACAGAAUUAAAGCUAUUUCAAGCAAGUGAAAAAUAAAAAUUUGUUUUGUGUA